Parasteatoda tepidariorum (common house spider) is the source of this 728-nucleotide non-coding RNA. The record is from RefSeq and is a predicted model, not a curated record. NCBI's taxonomy places the organism in Eukaryota, Metazoa, Arthropoda, Arachnida, Araneae, Theridiidae.
AGCGUGCAUCUAGAGUUACUUGGUGCUGUCUCUUCUACUUGACGAAGGUUUAUAAGCCUAUUUUGAGCACACAAGCCUUUACGUAAUUGCAAUAACGUGCAUCUAAAAACGUAAUUUCACGCGCAUAUUUUGUAAAUAACAUAACGUGUUAUAAUUCCUAAAUAAUAUAAUUCAUUGCGAGAGUGUGCUGAGUUCUAAGUUUCAAUCCAAAGGCAUACCGGGCAGUGGUACUUAACUGGACGUGUUUCGAACAAUUACCAAAGCAACUAUGUAAUUCUCAACAUUCAUCGGAGGAAGUCAAUAUCGUUCAUUCGCAGUUCAAAGAGUUCCCCAGAAAGCGGAGAAUAACGAAUGCAAACUUUGAUCCUCCUCCCCUUCUUCUCGAAGAGUAUCAUGUGCGGAGAAUUCCGGAUGCCAACUUGAAUCUUCUUUUCCUUCCACUGGAGUAUUGCAGCGAUGAAGAGUCAAAAUCUUUAUUAAUGGCGAGAGGUGUUUUUUUAGAAGCAAUAGACUUCCUUUGCAACUAAGGAAGAUAUCGAGUAUUACACCACCAACCCCCUCUUACAAAAAGUGUACGCCAUGGGUCUUUUGUAGCCAAAAGAUUGAGAUUCUCAACAUAUUUUAAUGGCUGAAUGAUAGGUGCGAUUUGCACUGAAAAGUUUUCUUGCUGUUUUGCAAUAAAUAUUUAAAUAUUAUGUAAUUUAAUAAAUUUUUCUCUCUAAAACUUA